AUCUUGCGCAAUGGAGGGAACUCUGACGCAGCGACGCCGCGUGAGUGAUGAAGGUCUUCGGAUCGUAAAGCUCUGCCCUUGGGGAAGAAGAUCGCCUGUUAGGCGAUUUGACGGUACCCAUGAAGGAAGCCGCGGCUAACUCCGUGCCAGCCGCCGCGGUAAUACGUAGGGGGCAAGCGUUGGCCGGAAUUAUUGGGCUUAAAGGGUGCUUAGGGGGCCUUUUAAGUCAGGUGUGAACGCCCACGGCUUAACCGUGGGAUUGCAUUUGAAACUGGAAGGCUUGAGUAUCGGAGAGGGUAGUGGAAUUCCCGGUGUAGCGGUGAAAUGCGUAGAUAUUGGGAGGAACACCAGUGGCGAAGGCGACUACCUGGACGAUAACUGACGCUGAUGCACGAAAGCUAGGGGAGCAAACA
This 413-nucleotide ribosomal RNA is filed under the name uncultured bacterium. Its description in RNAcentral is "partial 16S ribosomal RNA". It matches the Rfam family "Bacterial small subunit ribosomal RNA", at positions 361 to 774 of the family's 1533-position model. The record is from RNAcentral.